UAAAUAUUUAUUAAAUAUUUUAAUAUAGCAUAUUAAUAUAUUAAAUAUGUAAUAUGUGAAUACUAAAAGGAAAUUUUUGCAGGUUGGUAAAGCACACAGUUGCAAAAAGAGCUGUGAGCCUUCUCUAUGACUUACACCAGGCUGUCGGUGGUAAAGGGUGGAUGCAAUUAGCAAUAUGGUUUGUUGUCAGCAUGUUGUGGACAUAAUAUAAAGGGCAUUUCUUGUCAAACCUGAGACCCUUAAAAAAUAUCCCUCAAUAAAGUCUCAUGAACAGCUGCCCAUGUGUGGACCAGCCACAGGAUACCAGGCCACCGUCCCUGCCCCCCCCCCCCCCCCCCCCCCCCCCCGCACGCCCAGGUCAGGCCCCAGGGUGCUUCUUUUGUCUGGCCGCACCCCCUCCCAGGUGGGCUGGGGGGCAUGAGUGGCUUGACAGGAAGCCUCUCCCCGCAGGUGGCCCCGGGACAGGCUCCAGGGCUCAUGGGAUGGGAGGCCAGGGAAGAAGCUCAAGGUUUACACAGCCCAGGAGUCCAGGGCCUCGGAGGAACAGGCCGCUGCUCGCUAAGAAGGGGCCAUCUGUGAGCAGGGGAGAGACGGGCUCGCGGGCAGCUUGACAGCAAGGAAGGACACCGCGGGGAACAGCAAGAAAGGUACACAAAAGACUAUCGGGAACGUUGGCUAGCUGGAGUUCCGAUUCAUGUGAAGAUACAACGAACACAGAUACUUGUGCACAAUCCCGGGGGUCCUGGGCCGUCCCCCGAGAGCUGCGUUUUGAUCAGUGUCUCCCUGUGAGGACCGACCGCGAGGGAACAGCUUUCCUCAGUCGCAGCUUGCGUUGGAGGGAGGGUGUCUCCAAAGAUAUUAGGCGUAUGUAUUCAUGAGCCACAAUCGAUUCAAACAUUAAAUGGAAACUUCACAAAUUCUGUCCCCGCUGAUGUGUCCCGGACCAGCUUAGCAAUUGGUAAAAGCCCUGCCCUAAAGAGACAGGCAGUUGGAGCCAGCAGGGACAGAAGGUGUCUCCAGUGGAGGAAAUACAGCUGCUGGCAAUGUCCCGCCAGCAUCGUGGGGGCUCUGGGUCCACGGACGUCCAUCUCUGUCUCCCCUGCACCGUGACCAGAUCUCAGAGCAGCCUGGCUCAAGUUCAGUCGAGGAGAGUGUCUUUGCCAGAAAGAAACAUGACAUUUCAUGCAACUCCAGGAUCUUGGAACUACCAUAUUUAUAUUACACAAGGAACCAGCAAACGAGGCUGCCUGGGGCUCAUUUGGCUGCAUAUUUGGUCGCACAAGAGCUGUUUGGGCACAGAAUCCAGGACACCGGGCACCAGCGGGGACAUCAAGUCUGCACCCCGGGCCGCUGUGUUGAGGAGGCAAACACUUCCCCCUUUGCCUGAAGGUUGGGCCACCGUCAGACUGGCUGCUGCCGGCUGUCCCCACUCUGGGCGGCUGCUGUCUCAGGCUCGGCCUGGCUCCCGCCGUCCGACAGCCUCUCCCAGCUCGCUGGGGACCCCUGUGCACCUUCCCCCUGACAGCACCGCGCCCUCUCUGUGCUGUGUCACACCCUCAGCCACCAGCUACGCGUCUGGGCAGAAGACACACGAAACCAGCGCCGUGGCAGUUGACAUCCUGUUUCACGUGCACCUGUCUUUCUUCUUCCGUGUUCUGGGCUCCUUGCCUCUAAGUAGGACCCGGGUGACAACAUCGGCACUCACUUACUGACAGACAGGCCUCCUCCGGCCGGA
Molecule: long non-coding RNA, 1735 nt
Organism: Leopardus geoffroyi (Geoffroy's cat)
Lineage: Eukaryota; Metazoa; Chordata; Mammalia; Carnivora; Felidae
Exons: 5
Source: RefSeq, a predicted model, not a curated record